UACGAAGGGGGCUAGCGUUGCUCGGAAUCACUGGGCGUAAAGAGCGUGUAGGCGGCUAGAUAGGUCCGUUGUGAAAACUCGAGGCUCAACCUCGAGACGCCGAUGGAAACCAUCUAGCUAGAGUCCGGAAGAGGAGAAUGGAAUUCCUGGUGUAGCGGUGAAAUGCGCAGAUAUCAGGAAGAACACCCGUGGCUAAGGCGGUUCUCUAGUACGGUACUGACGCUGAGACGCGAAAGCGUGGGGAGCGAACAGG
Molecule: ribosomal RNA, 253 nt
Filed under: uncultured bacterium
Lineage: Bacteria
Description: partial 16S ribosomal RNA
Rfam family: Bacterial small subunit ribosomal RNA
Source: RNAcentral